GCGAACGGGUGAGGAAUACAUGGGUAACCUACCCUCGAGUGGGGAAUAACUAGCCGAAAGGUUAGCUAAUACCGCAUACGAUUCCGGGACUGCGGUUCCGGAAAGAAAGCGAUACCGUGGGUAUCGCGCUCUUGGAUGGGCUCAUGUCCUAUCAGCUUGUUGGUGAGGUAACGGCUCACCAAGGCUUCGACGGGUAGCUGGUCUGAGAGGACGAUCAGCCACACUGGCACUGCGACACGGGCCAGACUCCUACGGGAGGCAGCAGUAAGGAAUAUUGCGCAAUGGGCGAAAGCCUGACGCAGCGACGCCGCGUGGGGGAUGAAGGUCUUCGGAUUGUAAACCCCUUUCGGGAGGGAAGAUGGAAUGGGUAACCAUUCGGACGGUACCUCCAGAAGCAGCCACGGCUAACUUCGUGCCAGCAGCCGCGGUAAUACGAAGGUGGCAAGCGUUGUUCGGAUUCACUGGGCGUACAGGGAGCGUAGGCGGUUGGGUAAGCCCUCCGUGAAAUCUCCGGGCCUAACCCGGAAAGUGCAGAGGGGACUGCUCAGCUUGAGGACGGGAGAGGAGCGCGGAAUUCCCGGUGUAGCGGUGAAAUGCGUAGAGAUCGGGAGGAAGGCCGGUGGCGAAGGCGGCGCUCUGGAACGUUUCUGACGCUGAGGCUCGAAAGCGUGGGGAGCAAACAGGAUUAGAUACCCUGGUAGUCCACGCCUUAAACUAUGGAUACUAAGUGUCGGCGGGUUACCGCCGGUGCCGCAGCUAACGCAGUAAGUAUCCCGCCUGGGAAGUACGGCCGCAAGGUUGAAACUCAAGGAAUUGA
This 817-nucleotide ribosomal RNA is filed under the name uncultured microorganism. Its description in RNAcentral is "bacterial SSU rRNA". It matches the Rfam family "Bacterial small subunit ribosomal RNA", at positions 98 to 913 of the family's 1533-position model. The record is from RNAcentral.